AAAAUCGAUCUUUAUAAAGCUGACUUGAAGUAUUAAAUUACAGUAUCACUACUAGGGACCUUUGUAAAUAGUUUCUGACCAGAAAACAGCCAAAGCUUCUCUAUCUAUGCUAUAUCGUUUUUGGGCUUCUUUAAGUUUUGCGCUCACAAAUGCGACAUAAUAUGCCAGAGCAACUCUCUUCUUCAACUUCGCUUGCACGAGUUGUAAUAUGAAGGGGCAAGUAGUAAGUACAAACUCCACUCAUAAAUUCCCCUUUACAAGCUGGAAAAAAUCUUGCUUAAGAUAACCUCCUGUUCCCUCACUCAAACUAUUUACCGUUUUUUGACAUACUACUUAAAGGCUCAAUUAUAAUCAAUUCAAUGGGAAAGCAGGCUCUCCAGUAGUUCAAAGAUUUUUCUUGGCAAACCACCUUACAUUACUUUUGACAAAGUUACAUUUUCUACUCAAAAAAUUGGACCAUAUACCUCAUCUUUCUACUAAAGCUAACAAAUCUUUAUAGUGACCCUCUUCAUCUCUACUGCUGGUUAGACAAUCGUUUGCAAACACAAAAGUUUCCCUAUUCCAGAAAUCACUUCGUCCAUACCCUUUUGGUAUUUAAAAAGUGCAUCUACGUAAUAGCAUGGUAUUACAGUCUAUUGGAACCUCCUUCCAUUUGGCAAGUUAACAGCGAAGUAUUUUCGAGAAGUUUUGUGAAAUUCUCGUUGAUAAAUCCCUUUGCAAAGUCAAGAGUAGUAAAAAUUUUAUACCUUCUCGCCUUAAAGUUUAUAAA
Zophobas morio is the source of this 769-nucleotide long non-coding RNA. RefSeq lists it as uncharacterized. Lineage: Eukaryota; Metazoa; Arthropoda; Insecta; Coleoptera; Tenebrionidae. The transcript is spliced from 3 exons. The record is from RefSeq and is a predicted model, not a curated record.